RNAcentral lists this ribosomal RNA (406 nucleotides) under uncultured bacterium. Its description in RNAcentral is "partial 16S ribosomal RNA". It matches the Rfam family "Bacterial small subunit ribosomal RNA", at positions 28 to 526 of the family's 1533-position model. The record is from RNAcentral.
GACGAACGCUGGCGGCGCGCUUAACACAUGCAAGUCGAGCGAAGCGGCGGACGGGUGAGUAACCCGUGAGUAACCUGCCUGAGACAUUGGGAUAGCCUCGGGAAACCGGGAUUAAUACCAAAUGGUCUAAGAUGGACUCGCGGCCCAUUAGCUAGUUGGUGGGUAACGGCCCACCAAGGAGCCGAUGGGUAGCCGGACUGAGAUGGUGAACGGCAACAUUGGAACUGAGAACCGGUCCAAACGCUACGGGAGGCAGCAGUGGGGAAUAUUGCACAAUGGAGGGAACUCUGAUGCAGCGACGCCGCGUGAACGAAGAAGGCUUUCGAGUCGUAAAGUUCUUUUAUAUGGGAAGCGGUACCAUAAGAAAAAGCCCCGGCUAACUACGUGCCAGCAGCCGCGGUAAUUC